GCGCCCGUAGCUCAGCUGGAUAGAGCAUCGGCCUACGAAGCCGGGGGUCGGGAGUUCGAAUCUCUCCGGGCGCGCCA
This 77-nucleotide transfer RNA is filed under the name Gammaproteobacteria bacterium. RNAcentral's name for it is "tRNA-Arg". It matches the Rfam family "tRNA". From Rfam's summary of the family: Transfer RNA (tRNA) molecules are approximately 80 nucleotides in length. Their secondary structure includes four short double-helical elements and three loops (D, anti-codon, and T loops). Further hydrogen bonds mediate the characteristic L-shaped molecular structure. tRNAs have two regions of fundamental functional importance: the anti-codon, which is responsible for specific mRNA codon recognition, and the 3' end, to which the tRNAs corresponding amino acid is attached (by aminoacyl-tRNA synthetases). tRNAs cope with the degeneracy of the genetic code in two manners: having more than one tRNA (with a specific anti-codon) for a particular amino acid; and 'wobble' base-pairing, i.e. permitting non-standard base-pairing at the 3rd anti-codon position. The record is from RNAcentral. Lineage: Bacteria; Pseudomonadati; Pseudomonadota; Gammaproteobacteria. RNAcentral also lists the same sequence under 3 other names.